Macaca mulatta (Rhesus monkey) is the source of this 4305-nucleotide non-coding RNA. Lineage: Eukaryota; Metazoa; Chordata; Mammalia; Primates; Cercopithecidae. The record is from RefSeq and is a predicted model, not a curated record.
AGGUGGCUGGAAUCCACAGUCGCUGGGUGUUAUUAGCAUUGACAGGAUGGGGGAGAGUGAAAAAGGGGGCUCAGGUUAUAGGCAUCCUUGAGCUGGUUUUUAAAAAUUGCUUUGGUUUUGGUAGAAACUAGUGUUAGGACAGGAGAAAUCACCAAGCACCAUCAAAGAGAUGAUGGGAAACAGUGGUUAAAGGAAGCACAGUCGACUCCUGCGGGCACCCACACCUAGUGAGAGACUGAGCCUUGUUCACUUUAAAGCAGAGGUUCAACCAUGCAGACGGGGAGGAGGACCAGGUGGGAAUCAAGUAGGAAAGAGGAGAGGCUAUUAAAAAAAAUUCAUCUUAGAAAAACCACACACAGUUAAGAAACCAUACAACAUGGAACAGGUUAUGUGUCACCAACAGAAAAGGAACAGAAAGGAGAGACGGUUGGAUGAGCUGGGAUGAGAGAGACACAUGAGGGCCAAACAGAACGGGAACAUCAAAUCAAAGGCAGCAAAGCAAACCAAAGCCAACCCAGGGCUUUCUCAGGUGCAGAGCAGAGGCAGCCAGAAAGCACAUGGGAGCUGGCGGACAGAUGACAUUCGGGGGCGGGCUGCAUGCCACGCGGGGUCGGGAGCCACACGGCACACAGACAGACACACGGCUACACUUGGAAGCCUGGACAAUGUGAACGGAGGUCGUUUGUACCCAGCGUUUCUUUCCUUCAUGCAUUUGGGAGGUAAACACUCGAGUAUAGACUCAAAGCCCUGGCCAGCCAGUCAUUGGAGCUUACUUUGGGGUCUCUUAUUUCCUGGGGGAUUUUGUUUGUUUAUUUGUGCUUUGAAAACACAAAACCAAAAAACGAAGCUGGAAUCAGAUGGCCAAACCCAGCCCCAGUGGGAUUCUGGGGUGUGUGCAACUGAGUCACAAAACAGCAAGUUCUUUCAUUUUCUGUCUCAGUUGUGAACCACACAUCCUGGGGCCUCAGUUUCCUCCGCUGAAGAAUGGGAGGAGGCUGGUCAUUGAGUCUUCAAGGCUAGUGGAAAGAGCACUGGACUUGAAGGCAGAAGGACCCAACUUGCGUCCUGGCUCUGCCACAUCUGGUGCCUUGACUGUGGACAAGCCACACUAGCUCUCUGGUUGUCCUCUGUCCUGCCUCACAGGGUACAGAGGGACAGGACCCUCACUUGGAAGAGAGGUGUCCCUUCUCUGGACUCCUGGGAGAGGCAGUAGUGCCUGUCAUCUCAAGAGUCUGAUGGGACUUGGGACAAAGGUGCCUCCUCCUCUCGUCCCAGCCCCAACUCGGAGUGGAGUCAGAGAUGGAGAAAACAAGGUGGCAUUGGCGCCUCCAGAACAGAGCCUUAGUCAGCUGCUGUGUGCAGGCCAAGUGGCACCCACCUGCAGAGCAGUGGCUGCCCUACACCACAGGCCUGCGGGGAGGCAGGGGACUGGACGAGACGGUCGUGGGGAGGCCCUUGAAGUCCCAGGACUUGAGCUCUCAGAGGAACCCAGGGUAGCUCCUUUGUGGAACCCUGGUGGGGAAAGCCCUCUUCCAUGGAAGUGGAGUUUCUAGGUGACAGUGGUUGAUGAUUUUAAGUGUCAUCGCUGAAGGUUUGUUUUACUGUUGCAGAGGGAAUUCUUUCUAAAGCAUGUCACAUGCUCCUCUGACUUCUAAUUUAGAGUGCACAGAGAAUAAUUUAACAUAAGGUUUGUCAUUUAUCCUUCUUGGUCUUAGGUAAGACCCCAUGGAUUGGCUUGUUUUUUCUCCCUUGCUGUCAGCCAUCGCUUACUAGUUAGUGCUGACUUUUCUGUUUUCUGAAAAGCACCUCUGUCCUUUCACCUUGCAUAUUGUGAGCUGGGACUCCAGGGUACCCCACUUGCUGGAAUCGUGCUUUAAAUAAGAGGCAACAAGUGCCAAGCAAGAGCCAGCCAGACACGGCCUUCGUGCUGGUGCUCCAUCACGGCCACUGUGGCUGCUGAGCUCUUUCCCCCUGGAGUCCCUCUUUGUGGCUCUGCAGAGAUGGUUCAUAUUCUGAUCUCCUGGUAAGUGAGCUGUUACACCUUGAUUAAUUGAAAACAAAGAAGGCACUGCUGGCCUCAGCUUUCUUAUUUGUAGAGUGGGAAUAGCGUCACGGCUGUAGCUGCCUAGCUUGGUGCUGUGUGUUCUGAGGCUGAAGUGCAAUUCAGAUGCUGACUGGAACACCUAGUGUAUGUGUGGGGCGGGGGGAUGGUGGCAGGACCCUGUCAUGUGACUGACAACGCAGAGGGGAUGACACACAAUGAGAUGAGGCCCCUCCGCCCUCCCCCUGGCAUGGAGACAACAGAAAAAAUGAACUGCUCUGGACAAGACUGUGGGGACAAGACUUUUUGGGACACCCCGCCACGGCCAUCUCAAGUCUCCACUUCGGUUCUCUCCGAGGCUGAAAUGGAAAAAACUAUGGGGAAAAAAAGCUCUUCCAUCUCCCCUCCCUGCCUACCCUAAAGUGCAAACUCCUUGCCCUAGGAGUCUUCAGAACCAGGAAUCUGCAGGGGAAGUGGAAGCAGGAAGUGCCCUAUCUGUCCAGCAAGGGUGAAGUGCUGCCCUUCAAGAAAGAGGCUGAACUGGGAUGGACGAAGAACUGGGCUUUCACCCAGAAGCCAGACUCCUGGCAGGCAGCCCCAGCCAGAGGGCCGCAGGAGUCACCAGGAGGGGUGGCAGAAGGGAAGAAGCGGAUUCUUCCCCAUGUAGGUCUCCCUGACAGGACACUUGGUCACCGCACCUCAGGAUAGGUGGGGGUGCUGAGCAAGGCCAGAGCUGAGCUGGUGCAGAAAGGAGCUGGGAGGUCAGCUGGCUAGGCUGCUGCAAAGGUGAGAGCUCUCUGGUCUAAAGGGGAGGAGGAUGGGACCAGUGUUGCCUUCCCCUAGAAAUCCUGGCGGUGACUGCCUAGUGAUGGUAUAUCAUGGAAAUGUGACUCAGCCACCAUCUGCUGAAAUGCAUCUCCAUUUCAUCUUGGCUCCCUGGGCCUCCCCAGCACUGCAUUUCUGUGCUGACGAAUGAGCACUGAGGGGCUCCUUCCCUGCUUUCUGCUUCUGUCCUGCCGCUGUAGGUCAUGGACAUUUGCCAUCAACAGGCUUUCUGUGGCCUGCGCCUCCACUGGAGGCACUGAGGGAGGCGUUCCCCCCAGCACACAGGGUUCCCGCUGCUGCAGCGGGGUGUGUUGUGGGUGCUCUGGUUUUGGAUGGGGGUACAGGCCCUUUAUAGAGUUUCAAGAGAUGAGCUGGAGUCUACUUCUCACACAGAAGCUGGAGGCUAAGACGGACACUGUGUCAACUGGAGAAGACCAGAGCCAGGGGCUCCCCUGCAGAUCAGAAGGGCCUGGCUGGAAGCGAAGCAGGGCGGUGGGAGGAAAGACAGGCUUUUCCCUAUGGGGCCCGAAGCCAUGGGUCCGGGAAAGAGCUAAACAAAGCCAGCGCCCCUGCCCGCCUGGGAGCUGGCGUGGGCAGUGCCAGCCGGAGGCAGUAAGGAGUCACACUCACGCCCGGCUGCAGCAGGAGGAAGGCUGGUCGGAGAGGAAAGAGCAUUGGACAACGACACGCGACUAGGGCUAGAGAGAUUGGCUACAUCCUGGCUCUGGCUGGUGACCGAGGACUGUCUCCGCAGGGCCCCCUGAAAGGAGGCCCCGCUCUUGAAAGUAUUGACUACUUCAAUCUGCAACGGAGGAGAGAACGAGACAAGUUGCGAGAAGAAUGAACACAACAGCUACAUGACUGACAGGCGCAACAUCACAAGAACAGCCGCAGCCACGGCAACAACGACAAUGUCACUUAAAUCAAAACAAAAAUACCAGACACACUCCAAGGCUCUGAAAGAUGUCUGCUCAGCUCUGGGCCCACCUGCAGGCCCCAGGGUCCCCGGGAGGACACAGGGGGUCUGGCCUUUGUCCUGUGCUAGUGGCUCAGGGGCCAGUGGGCUGGGUGAGGCCGGUGGGGGAGGCAGUGAUUAAACAUGGCAUCUGGAGGGAAGAGAGCAGUGUUCAGCCUCCCUCAGAUACAGGUGUGGAGGUGGAGGGUGUGGUGGGGGCCCUGAGGUGAACAGAGCUUGGCCUAAAUUCCAGCUCUGUCACUUACUAGCUAGGAGACCUUGGGCAAGCCACCUCUCUGAGUUGAGUUUCUUCUUCUUAAGAAGGGUUAAUGCCACCUGCCCGGCAGGGUUAUCUGUAAGUGGCAAAGCACCUGACCCACAAGAGGCAGGCAAGACAGACGCUCCUGCCCACUCAAGAAACCACAGUCCUUGCUUCCUCCCAUAAUUUGGAGACCCCUGCAUGGCUCUGCCACCAGGGCAGUGA